This is a long non-coding RNA of Diachasmimorpha longicaudata, 5635 nucleotides long. RefSeq lists it as uncharacterized. The transcript is spliced from 2 exons. The record is from RefSeq and is a predicted model, not a curated record. NCBI's taxonomy places the organism in Eukaryota, Metazoa, Arthropoda, Insecta, Hymenoptera, Braconidae.
AAUACAACCCCAAACACAUCAAAAUGGAUAUUCCAUGCCCAUUGUCAUGCCACCAGCUCGGCCUAUUAAUCAUAUUACGUUAAUUAACGCGAUGCCAUGAGAAUCAUUAUUCUAUCGUAAAUCCGUAAAGACGACACAAUUAACGUAAAUAUUUUUAUUUCUUUCAAUGAAAUUUUUUAAAUGACUAAUUAGUGAAUUCUAUACCAAUUCAAACAAUUUGUUGGAUGUUCAUAUAAAUUUGGAUAUUUUUAAUUAUCAAUAUAAAAAUAUUCUGAUCGUAUUGACGAUAAAUUUUUGAUUUGCGGCGAUCGCAAUAGUUUGGUGAAUAUAAUUUUGAUGUUUUGUCAAUGCAAUUGUCGAGGAACUUUCACAUUCUCAUCCCCGUUCUCUCUCAAUGUAUUCUGGAUUGACGAAAUUGGGGAUGGAUUUUAUAUUUUCUUUCGGGGCCACAGGCAUGAGUAAAUAUGGGGAAUUACCAACGAAAGGUGAAGGUAGAAAAAUAGAGGCGAGGAUCGAGGCCUUUGAGCGUGCCGGCUGUCGAAACGCGCACGCGUUCGACACUAUAUCGACCUCCCUUCGAGAUAUAGCUGGUGGUGGGCACCUCAACUGUCUUUUAGCCAGCUGCUGCUCCACCAUCCGGCACUCAAUCUCUUCAGUUUCUCAUUAUUGAUUUCAUUUGUACUUCUCUUUUACUUUGGAUAUUUUUUUUUGCACCUGAGAGAGUGACGGACCUGUGUCAGGUACUGAGUCCUUGCGAGAAUGGGAUUUCUCAUGUGAGGGAAGAAUUUUUUUAAGUCCCGAAUUUGCAGAAUUUAUGUUUAAAAUUUACCUGAUGUUUUUAAUUCAUUUCUUUCAUUUGAAAUUAUUGAGAGAAAUUAUUGAUAUGUGUGGACAAAAAUGAAUCGUCUGUCUAUAGCUGUUUUCAGUCCAUCUCAGUAUGUUAUAGUUUUUAUAGUUUUUCUCCGAAUAGUACCAAAAUGUUUAGAAUGGUUUUAAUGAAUAGACCCAGAGAGAAACAGAAAGGAAUGAAUGAACAAGGACCUAUUGGAAAUGGGUUAUUAGAAAUAAUAAUAUCCUGGAAAUAAUUGUAACUAUUUCCUUCUUUAUUAUUUAACUCAAAUAAUAGUGCUCGGAAGACACAUCCGCUGUGUACCGAUUCCCUAGAGGAACUAACUAGAUCUACAAAGGGAAACAACACCCUGGACAUUUUAGUCUCAUGCUCUCAAAGAGUCCUAUUCAUUCCACUUUGUCCACAUACUUAAAAUCAAACAUAAACAUGAUACCUCACACUUCUCAGAAUUCCAACCCAUAAAAAUGUUUUUCAAUUCAAGUAUAAACACUCAGGAGAAUAAGAUUAAUUUUUGUUUUCUAUUUAUUUCAUGAAAAAUCCAACAGGGCCUUUUGUCAAAUGGGUCUAGGGUGUGAAAUCUUUGGUCACUAAGAGUCAGUUGAUCUGGAGAUAUCAUACCAGAAAGAUAUACCUCCUGCGAUUAUAAUAAAUAAUUAAAGCCGAUAGUUCAUAAAUAUCAUCUGAGUUGUGGCAUUGUCGUAUAAAACAUGUUUCCACAUAAUCUUUAAUGCACCUGGUGCUCGGUAGCCCUCCGUAUCCACUACCAAAAAUAUAGAAUAAUUUCAAAAUUAAUAAUAACUUGGCAACUUUGUUGAAUUUUCCGCUCACCGGCAAAGCUGGGUAAAAAAAUGGUGUGAGCAAGUGUGAUGGCUUUAUGAGUUGGAAAAGGAAGAUCCCGCAGUUGUCUCUAUUUCUAGCCUACGUGAGCGUGCAAAAACGAUUUAUCCCGGCGUAUUAACCGCGUGUAAUAAGCCAAACCUCACUCCAGACACCCUCCGGUGCUCGGUGUAUAUUAAAUUCUAUGUUGAUAUUCACCUAUUUUUCGCUAUUGUCCUUGGUAUAUACCUCCCCCGUACCUCCCCCGCCCUGUACUCCACUCAAAACGCGAGCCAAGUGAUAAGUUUGAAGACCCCAAUUGAUCUCGAAUUCCCAUAACAAUAUAAAUAAACAAAGUGGCGAAAAUACAGGGUCUAAAAAAAGAAUAUUCAAAAGCUAAACUCAUAAUUUCUAAUUUCGUUAGCUUGGCUUGGUCUGUUUACGUGCCCCUGCGCACAUUUUUUUAUGAGAAACUGAAAAUUAUAAUAUUUUUGUGGAUUUUUUGAGUGAAAAUAUUUUUAAUGUUGUAUUUUAAGACGAGAAAAAAACUUUUUUUUAUUUUUGAAACGCAGAAGAGGUUUUGAAAUUCAGUGAUAAAUGUUGUUGUCUGGUGAAAAUACUUUAAUUUUAGCAACACAACGUACCUUCAUUUUUCGACAGAUUUCGACAUUGUAAUUUAAAUUCGAUAACACUAGAAUUUUUGAUCUUUAAAAUUUAAAAGUUUCCAUUACCCUACCAGAAUAAAUAGUGAUAAUAUUAUUAUAAAUUUUUAUCUCAUUUUUCAUGGCAAAACAGCGUUGUCACUCUCAAAAUUUUGCGGAAGGGCUCGUACGUCGUAAUAACUCUUCCAAAAAAUGAAAUUCUCCCCCAAAAAGCCAAUUCCUAAUUUUUAAUUUUCCAUAAUUUCUAACUUCGUCAUCGUCUGGGGUUCCCUCCCCUACGUCUUCUCGAAUCUGGUGAAAAAAAAAAAACAUGAGAAUAACCCCACGAGUACCGAAUUUCCAGUCGACCACUCAUCAAAGAGAUCGAUCUGACCUAAUUUCCGAAAAAGAGACGCGGAGAAGGAGAAAAAAUUGCUCCAUUGCAAAAAAAAAAAAAAUCAAAAAUCCGUCCCUGGGCGCCCGGAAGAUGUUCCGCUUUUCCGGAUGCUACGUCACUGCACGGGGCAGAAAGCGGCGGCGAGUGAAGACAGUGGUAUCGGGCCAACGUCGGGUGCGACAGAGGGAGGCAGUGUUAUCGGGAGGUACAGCGCAACAUUCCCUUUCCUGAAAAGCCGUCGGGUUCAGUCGGCUCUCGGCCGCCACCAUCGUCAAUACUGACGGAUCGGGCGGGCAAUUCCCCAAUUUCAUUGUUUAAACAAAUUAACUGAAACAAGUGUCUCCGGUCCUUGGAGUGAUACGUCAUCGGGGUCCGCAAUCGGAGGCCGGAAGACAAAAAAAAAAAUAGAAUCAAACUGCCAAUGGAAUUUGCCCUGUCAAUUAUUUCCACAUGCCAACGACAAUGCAAUUCCAGUCGUCAGCCCCUGUGAUUACCUGAUAUAUCGGUAGGAUCAGUAGGCAAAGGGCCUUUGUCGGGUCAAAGGAAGCCCAUUCGACUGUGAGUUUCAGUGGUUGAGGGCUGUCUGCGAAGAGUUGGUGCAACAUUCCCUUUUACAAUCAGAAUCACAGCGUGAAAUCCUCGUGAAUGUCAAAAUUCAAUUCCGUGACACUUCUCGGUGGAGGGAAUUGACUUUUCACAGGUGCAUUGGUAUUCAUGAGACUGUGCGUGAGCGAAAUUGAGGGUGAAAUUGUUUUUGAAAAAUGUGAAAUACGAAGAGGGAAAGAAAAUGGAAAAGAAAUUGAAUGAGAAAGAAAAAUGUUUAAAUAAUUUUCAAAUGUCGAUAAUGUACUGGAAAAAUGUUAGAGCUAAAUCCGGAAAUACGCGAGAGAAUACUCUACAAAGGCUCGUGCGACAUUUGAUGAAAAAAUCGAACAGAGGGGAGGAAUUGUCGUCAAUAUCAAAAUUCAAUUUCGCGUCACGCCUCGGUUUAUUAUUAUUUUUUAUUGUUAAAAAUAGUAUUCAAAAAUCGAAAAACCAGAGGAAUAUGGGGGGGAUAUGCUGCGAAGGGUUCGGGUUGCAGUGGACGAAAAAUGUUGAGAAACAGAGGGAGAACAUUUUUUGGAUCAAAAUUCAAUUCCGUGUGACGUUUUUAUAAAGGGAAUUGCGAAAAAAUAUUCAAAAUAGAAAGACAGAAGAAUUGUUGGAAUAAAAUAGAGAAACACGAGAGACGAUAUUUUAAAGGGAAUUUGCGUAACAUUUAAUUUAAAAAUUGGAUAACAAAGGCAAAAAAUUCUGGUGAAUAUCAAAAUUCUUUUCAAACUUUGAGUACAAAUAUAAAAAAUAAAUACACAUAAGAAAGGUUUAAAUACAGUAUAGAAAUACGUUAGAGGGUAUACUGGCAGCAGUUCGUGCGGCAUUUCAUAAAAAACGAAUAAAAUCGAGACAUCUCCGUGCAUUUCAAAAUUCAAUUCCGUGUCAGUUCGAUCUAUAAAAUUUACUUUCCCAGGUGCAUUGAUAUUUUGCGUCAACGCUUAAGUAAAACUGAGGGUGAAAUUGUUUUUUUUUAGUAUUGAAAAUUCGUUUAAAAAAUAUAAUUCAGUUUUGGGUCUUUUAGACGUUUAAAAUUGAGUUUUACGGGUCCGUUAAUAUUUCAUGUCUCUGCGUAAGCGAAAUCGAGGAUAAAAUUGUUUUUAAAAAACUGUAAAAAUAGAAAUCUCCAUUUCUAGAACUGAUGAAUGAUAAAUUUUCAAUGUUGAGUUGAUGGAAAAGUUAAACUUGUUUGUUAUUCUGAUUGAGUUUUAUCCCUGGGAGUUGAGUAAACAGGGAUCCCCGCAAUCAUACUGGGAUGGAUAAUAAUAUUGGACCAACGAUUAGACCGAGGCCCGUUAGGUAUAAAGGAAGGGGAGUUGAGGGUACUGUGGAUUGAAGGGAGAAUAGGGACGGAUGGAGGAGGGGGUAGAGUGACGAGAGUGGUCUCGAAAGAGGGGUGGUGGUUCGAUCGCGCUUACCUUCGGUUCUUAUCAGAGAAAAACGAGUACCCACGGAGAUGGAAAAUGAUACUCGACUAUUUUUUUUAGCCUCAUCUCCCUGACUUUCUCGCGAAAUUCAAUCAAUUUUCUAGGCUAAUUCCCAGACUCUUUGUUGCGUCUCGAACGUCCGAGAAUUUUCUAGGGGAAGUCAUGGCACUUCAUUAUUUUGCAAGUGACAAUCUCUAAAAAAUCCUAUCUCUUAAUUUUAUUCGAGGACAUUAAUUAAUUUCUUGGAAUAAUUUUCUCAACUAUUUUUCAUUUUUUCAAUUGCUUUGUUCUCUAAAGAAAAGGUUUAGCUGUUAAUCGAAAUCGAAUGAGCAUUAUUAGGUCACUGAGCAGAUAAAUAUCGUUACUGAUCGAUAAUAAUUUCUGUUAUCAUCAGUGAAAAAACGGGAAGUGUUUGAGAUACGAAAAAAAUCGUGACAUAAAAUAUUAUUUAGCGGUUGACACUUUGAAACAAUUCUCUUCUCUCUUUUCUUUAUAAAAAAAUCGAUAAAUAUUCUAGACUAGUUUUCGUCUUUGAUUUUAAUUUUCGGAAAAUUCCUGUUUUCCUGUCAACAAUUUUCCCCAUCUCCUCCAGCUUUUGAAGAAAUAAAAUACAUUUUAUAGGAUAAUCUCCCGCUCUAUUUUAUCCCGAAUCUCCGAGAAUGUGUAAGAGGAUUUCUCGCUGUUUAUUUUUAGGAGAAAGCUUCAACUCUUCUGCAAACUAAUGCACAGAUCAUUGAAACCCACAAAACUCCCAAAAACUAUUUUUAAUCAUUCCUUCUUCCAUUUAAAAAAAAAAUCGCCAAAAAUUUCUAGACUAAUCCGUAUUCGUAUCACUCCAAACUCCCACAGAAAUUAAUCGGGGAAUCAUCAUUAAAAUGACUGUAAACGCAAUUAACCCGCCACUAAUGAUCAA